CUCAAAUUCAAACAAAAACAUCACCUUCCCAGAAAGAAAAAGUAAAAACCUAAAAGCCUUCAAACCACAGAGAUAUCAGCACCCUACAAACAUAAACAUCAAACCAAGAAAAAGAUACCACAACAGAAGUCCCAAAAUCUAAGGUAAAGAAGAAAAAAGAACCAAUCUUAUGACACAAAGGUCCAAUCCUUAUGAGCUAAUAACAACUCCCAUUUACAAGAAAACCACAAAAAAUCAUCAGCACCCUACAAACAUAAACAUCAAACCAAGAAAAAGAUACCACAACAGAAGUCCCAAAAUCUAAGGUAAAGAAGAAAAAAGAACCAAUCUUAUGACACAAAGGUCCAAUCCUUAUGAGCUAAUAACAACUCCCAUUUACAAGAAAACCACAAAAAAUC
RNAcentral lists this unclassified non-coding RNA (398 nucleotides) under Hevea brasiliensis (rubber tree). Lineage: Eukaryota; Viridiplantae; Streptophyta; Magnoliopsida; Malpighiales; Euphorbiaceae. The record is from RNAcentral.